RNAcentral lists this ribosomal RNA (1351 nucleotides) under uncultured bacterium. RNAcentral describes it as "bacterial SSU rRNA". It matches the Rfam family "Bacterial small subunit ribosomal RNA", at positions 28 to 1391 of the family's 1533-position model. The record is from RNAcentral.
GACGAACGCUGGCGGCGUGCUUAACACAUGCAAGUCGAACGGAAAGGCCCUUUCGGGGGUGCUCGAGUGGCGAACGGGUGAGUAACACGUGGGUGAUCUGCCCUGCACUUUGGGAUAAGCCUGGGAAACUGGGUCUAAUACCGGAUAGGACUACGAAUCGCAUGGUUUGUGGUGGAAAGCUUUUGCGGUGUGGGAUGGGCCCGCGGCCUAUCAGCUUGUUGGUGGGGUGAUGGCCUACCAAGGCGACGACGGGUAGCCGGCCUGAGAGGGUGUCCGGCCACACUGGGACUGAGAUACGGCCCAGACUCCUACGGGAGGCAGCAGUGGGGAAUAUUGUACAAUGGGCGCAAGCCUGAUGCAGCGACGCCGCGUGGGGGAUGACGGCCUUCGGGUUGUAAACCUCUUUCGGUAGGGACGAAGCGUAAGUGACGGUACCUAUAGAAGAAGCACCGGCCAACUACGUGCCAGCAGCCGCGGUAAUACGUAGGGUGCGAGCGUUGUCCGGAAUUACUGGGCGUAAAGAGCUCGUAGGUGGUUUGUCGCGUUGUUCGUGAAAACUCACAGCUUAACUGUGGGCGUGCGGGCGAUACGGGCAGACUGGAGUACUGCAGGGGAGACUGGAAUUCCUGGUGUAGCGGUGGAAUGCGCAGAUAUCAGGAGGAACACCGGUGGCGAAGGCGGGUCUCUGGGCAGUAACUGACGCUGAGGAGCGAAAGCGUGGGGAGCGAACAGGAUUAGAUACCCCUGGUAGUCCACGCCGUAAACGGUGGGUACUAGGUGUGGGUUUCCUUCCUUGGGAUCCGUGCCGUAGCUAACGCAUUAAGUACCCCGCCUGGGGAGUACGGCCGCAAGGCUAAAACUCAAAGGAAUUGACGGGGGCCCGCACAAGCGGCGGAGCAUGUGGAUUAAUUCGAUGCAACGCGAAGAACCUUACCUGGGUUUGACAUACACAGGACGUGCCUAGAGAUAGGUAUUCCCUUGUGGUCUGUGUGCAGGUGGUGCAUGGCUGUCGUCAGCUCGUGUCGUGAGAUGUUGGGUUAAGUCCCGCAACGAGCGCAACCCUUGUCUCAUGUUGCCAGCACGUGAUGGUGGGGACUCGUGAGAGACUGCCGGGGUCAACUCGGAGGAAGGUGGGGAUGACGUCAAGUCAUCAUGCCCCUUAUGUCCAGGGCUUCACACAUGCUACAAUGGCCGGUACAAAGGGCUGCGAUGCCGUGAGGUGGAGCGAAUCCUUUCAAAGCCGGUCUCAGUUCGGAUCGGGGUCUGCAACUCGACCCCGUGAAGUCGGAGUCGCUAGUAAUCGCAGAUCAGCAACGCUGCGGUGAAUACGUUCCCGGGCCUUGUACACACC